UAGCUCAGUGGUAGAGUACUUGCCUAGCAUGCAUGAGGACCUGAGUUCAAUCCUCAG
This 57-nucleotide transfer RNA is filed under the name Ictidomys tridecemlineatus (thirteen-lined ground squirrel). RNAcentral describes it as "Spermophilus tridecemlineatus (thirteen-lined ground squirrel) tRNA". It matches the Rfam family "tRNA", at positions 8 to 63 of the family's 71-position model. From Rfam's summary of the family: Transfer RNA (tRNA) molecules are approximately 80 nucleotides in length. Their secondary structure includes four short double-helical elements and three loops (D, anti-codon, and T loops). Further hydrogen bonds mediate the characteristic L-shaped molecular structure. tRNAs have two regions of fundamental functional importance: the anti-codon, which is responsible for specific mRNA codon recognition, and the 3' end, to which the tRNAs corresponding amino acid is attached (by aminoacyl-tRNA synthetases). tRNAs cope with the degeneracy of the genetic code in two manners: having more than one tRNA (with a specific anti-codon) for a particular amino acid; and 'wobble' base-pairing, i.e. permitting non-standard base-pairing at the 3rd anti-codon position. Lineage: Eukaryota; Metazoa; Chordata; Mammalia; Rodentia; Sciuridae. The record is from Rfam by way of RNAcentral.